AGCGACACCAUAGAAGCGUGACGAGACGGACUGCCAAGCCCCCCCCCCCCCCCUCCAUCCUCUAUGGAUGUCGUCCUAAACUAUACAAUCGAAGGAGACACACGCCCACACACGUGCUUACACGUAAUCGCAGGUUACCCAUGACAGAUCUGUCAAACCGGCAGUGGCGGGCGCUGGCGCAGGCUUACCCCUUUUACCUUGCCGGCGAAGUGGGUGUCGGAGGCCCUGCUAAUGAUCGUUCGCCGGAUCGCCAAGCUGGUGUGACUGAAAGCGAGCUUGUGGCUCCGUCGCUGUCGUCGAGUGAGGAGUUUGUGCAGUACGUCGUGCCACGAGUAGCGAAGGUCUUUCCCGAGGAGCUGCAGGCCUACGAACGGGCCAACGACUGUGGCGGCCAACCAGCCCAUCCCAACGGCGGCAGAGCUUGUCGCGCGUCUCCUCGGUCCACAGCAGAGGCUGUGGAUGCCCUGCUCGUGUACUUGUUUGACUGCACCACUUCGGCGCUCUCGCGAGGCUCGCCAACGAAGCAGCGCAGGCCCUUCGCAUCCGCAUGCUUUGCGCCGCUCAUCACGCCCCUCUCACGCCGCGAGCAACAGCUGCUGGGCCUCUACCACCGUAAGCAAGAGCAGUACACCUACGUAUUGAGCACUCAGCAACAACUGCUUGCGGCGUCCCAGCUCGCCGUGCAGGCAUUGCAGGGAGUGAGCAGUCCCAUCCUGGCAUACGCGCAAAGAGGCGCGGGCGCGUCGCAACGGGUAGCUGAGGAGAGCCUGGCCGCCCCCACCCGUGAGAGCGUUGUUUUUCCUGGCGGCCAAAAGUUAUCGGUAUGGCCACCGCUGUCGCACGCGACGGUCAGCGGCGAUGGCAACUCUGCCCGUGCGGUACAAGCCGCGUCCUCAUCACGUGCCCCAGCUGCGGGUGGCGCGAACAGCUGUGAUGCCAGUCGUGCCUUUACGAGCGCGCUAGCCAACGUUCCGUACGAGAACCGCCCACGAGAGACACCGGCAGCGGCGUCUUUGUCAGUGGAUGGCUCAUCCGUAGCCGGCACUUGGAGAGACUCCCCUUUUCUGCACUCCCGCACCGAUACCGCGCCGGUGCUAAUCGCCAUGAGCCGCUGUGCCGGCUGCCACGAGGUGGGCGGCGAUCUACUCAUCUGCACUCAAUGUGAGGAGGUGCGCCACGAAGCCUGCGGCGGGCCGCACCCGCCAGAGCCAGGAAUGGCCGGCAAGAGGGUGCCCGCUAUGAACGUCUGCAAGCGGUGCGCGACCGCGCUGAACUUGUCCAGCAGCUCAUCGAGCCUUCGCAGCACCACCUCCUCUAGCGAGCGAGCGGAGCUGGACGAGUACUUCAGCUCCGACGACGACGCCAGCAGCCUCUCCGGAUUCAUCGUGAACACCAGCGAUGAUGAUGAGGCGGAGGGUGGCGACCAGAGCGCUGAGGACGACGGUGACAGCAACGUGGACAGAGCCAAGAGCAAUGAGAAAGGUGAGAGGCGGCAGAGGAAGCAUCAGUCAACGGGCGCGUUGGCACCGCCGCGGAAAGGCCAGCACGCCAACAAGAACAGGAAGCGGAGGCCUGCAGCAGGCGCCACAGACGCAGCGUCCGAUGUGUCGUCGGCGUCUUCAGCCGCCUCGGGGUCAUCAUCGCGCAUUUGGAGCCGCUCUGCGUCGCUCGACCGCGCCCUCGCAAUGGCUGCAAAGAGAAAGAGCAAGAAGCACGACUCAGCCAAGAAAGUGCACGCUGGUGAUAACGAAGGUGAUGCUGGGGCUUCGGCACCGCGGAAUGAGGGUCACGAGGGGCAGCGACGGAAGCGACGCCGCGUGCGCCACGAGGAUGAGGAAGGUGGACGCCGUCAGCACAAGCGGAAGCGCUCUGCUGCUGAGGCCAGCGAUACCUCCUCACUGACGUCCAGCACGUCCUCGGGGUCGUCGUCGUUGUCGACGAAGAAGGUGCGGCUGUUGAAGUCACAGAAAGAGAAGGCGUCUUCGCAACACCAGAGCAGCGCACAGAUGCCACUGUCACCGCCGCGACAGGAAGACGCGAGACGGGUGCCCACAUGUGCGAGUAGGGAGGGCACGAAGCAUUCGCCUGUAGACCGCCGCCGAGCAGAGCUGCUGUCGGCUCAGCCGCGUCGUUUGGCGGAGCUGGAAGAUGAGGAAGAGCUCAGCGCGCUCGGCAUCGCCUCAUCUUCUGCAUCCGGGACGCCGCUGCAGCCGCCACCGUCAUCGUCGAAGCGGCGCCAAGGCUGCAGCGCUAACCGAAGUGGUGGCUGCAAACGCCUCAGGAACGUUGCCUCCUCCUCGUCCUCUAGCGACGACGGCAACUGAGGAGUGGUUGAUGCUGGCAAUGAAGAGUUUGACAGAGCUAGUUGCCAGUUCCCCCACGGAGCUGGCAACCAGCCUCGCUUGCCCAACACGCGCACCCGACCCUCUUUGCGUGCAACACGAAGCGAAGUUACAGAACUGUUCGUUCGGUUUUGUCUCGACGAGUGCCGUGCGCUCACACGGGAUGUGCGGCAAACCAUGGUGUAUGUGUGUGUGUGUGUGUGGAUGGGUGGGUGGGGUGGGCUGCAAGUGUCUGCCGCUGCGACCCCCUUUGGUGGAUACGCGCCUCCCACGGUAUCGGCCAUCCAACACACUGUCAAUUAAUCGCCUAAGCGCGCACGGAGAGCCAUCCAGCACCAUCUUACAUGAACAGGGGAGCAUGUCUAGAGUCAGCACCGAAGGGGGUGCCUCAGAGGCGAAACGGAGAUGGCGCAUGCGUUGCGGAUACGCUCGCGCCGCUCUCGUGUCCUUGACGGCCUACCCCAGGUGACAGCAGCCCACCGCGUCUGCAGAAUGAGCUUAAGCGCACAUGAAAAUGGCACUCUUCUAUGCAACCUUCCCCUUCAUUGUGGUACAUCCCCCCGACCCACCCACCCAUCACAAGCCUGCGCACGGAUCUCCUUUCCUCUUCACUUACAG
Molecule: unclassified non-coding RNA, 2960 nt
Filed under: Leishmania donovani
Lineage: Eukaryota; Euglenozoa; Kinetoplastea; Trypanosomatida; Trypanosomatidae
Description: gene:LdHU3.26.2640(CDS-product:hypothetical_prote in_conserved)
Source: RNAcentral